UACCGAGGUCCCAAGCGUUACUGAGAAUCACUGGGGUUAAAGGGUGCGUAGGUGGUCCGUUAAGUCAGUUGUGAAAUCCCCGGGCUUAACCCGGGAACUGCUUCUGAUACUGGCGGACUUGAGGCCAGUAGGGGUCACUAGAACUGACGGUGGAGCGGUGAAAUGCGUAGAUAUCGUCAGGAAUGCCGGUGGUGAAGACGGGUGACUGGGCUGGUUCUGACACUGAGGCACGAAAGCGUGGGAGCGAACGGG
This 252-nucleotide ribosomal RNA is filed under the name uncultured bacterium. Its description in RNAcentral is "partial 16S ribosomal RNA". It matches the Rfam family "Bacterial small subunit ribosomal RNA", at positions 524 to 776 of the family's 1533-position model. The record is from RNAcentral.